RNAcentral lists this ribosomal RNA (460 nucleotides) under uncultured bacterium. Its description in RNAcentral is "partial 16S ribosomal RNA". It matches the Rfam family "Bacterial small subunit ribosomal RNA", at positions 29 to 523 of the family's 1533-position model. The record is from RNAcentral.
AACGAACGCUAGCGGCAUGCUUAACACAUGCAAGUCGAACGGGUUAGGGAGGAGACUUUCUAGCCAGUGGCAGACGGGUGAGUAAGACGUGGGAACGUACCCUUGGGUGGGGAUAACCUGUGGAAACGAGGGCUAAUUCCGCAUAAGUCCGUAAGGGAAAAGGCGCAAGUUGCCGAAGGAGCGGCCCACAGUUGAUUAGGUGGUUGGUGGGGUAAAGGCUCACCAAGCCGAUGAUCAAUAGCUGGUUUGAGAGGACGAUCAGCCACACUGGGACUGAGACACGGCCCAGACUCCUACGGGAGGCAGCAGUGGGGAAUUUUGGACAAUGGGGGGAACCCUGAUCCAGCAAUGCCGCGUGAGUGAAGAAGGCCUUCGGGUUGUAAAGCUCUUUCAUGGGGGACGAUAAUGACGGUACCUCAAGAAGAAGCCUCGGCUAACUUCGUGCCAGCCGCCGCCGUAA